Molecule: ribosomal RNA, 601 nt
Filed under: uncultured fungus
Lineage: Eukaryota; Fungi
Description: eukaryotic LSU rRNA
Rfam family: 5.8S ribosomal RNA (bases 132-285)
Source: RNAcentral
UGGCACUUUUUAAUCCAUAUCCACCUUGUGUGCAAUGUCAGUCGAUCUUCUUCAUGGAGAUCGACCAAACAUCAACCCUUAUUUUUUAACUCUUUGUCUGAAAAAUAUUAUGAAUAAACAAUUCAAAAUACAACUUUCAACAACGGAUCUCUUGGCUCUCGCAUCGAUGAAGAACGCAGCGAAAUGCGAUACGUAAUGUGAAUUGCAGAAUUCAGUGAAUCAUCGAAUCUUUGAACGCAUAUUGCGCUCUUUGGUAUUCCGAAGAGCAUGCUUGUUUGAGUAUCAGUAAACACCUCAAAGCUUUUGGAUUUUUUAAUCGAAAAGCUUUGGACUUGAGCAAUCCCAACACCAAUCUUUUUGAGAUCGGUGGCGGGUUGCUUGAAAUGCAGGUGCAGCUGGACAUUCUCCUGAGCUAAAAGCAUAUUCAUUUAGUCCCGUCAAACGGAUUAUUACUUUUGCUGCAGCUAACAUAAAGGGAGUUUGACCGUAUUGGCUGACUGAUGCAGGAUUUCACAAGGGUCGGCAACGAUUCUUGUUAAACUCGAUCUCAAAUCAAGUAAGACUACCCGCUGAACUUAAGCAUAUCAAUAAGGCGGAGGAA